Molecule: transfer RNA, 22 nt
Filed under: Nicrophorus maculifrons
Lineage: Eukaryota; Metazoa; Arthropoda; Insecta; Coleoptera; Silphidae
Description: partial tRNA-Leu
Source: RNAcentral
GUCUAUACUUUUUUUAGAAAAA